Molecule: transfer RNA, 86 nt
Filed under: candidate division WOR-1 bacterium DG_54_3
Lineage: Bacteria; Bacillati
Description: tRNA-Leu
Rfam family: tRNA
About the family: Transfer RNA (tRNA) molecules are approximately 80 nucleotides in length.
Source: RNAcentral
GCCGGGGUGGCGGAAUUGGUAAACGCAAGGGACUUAAAAUCCCUCGUAGGUUAUCCUCUGUGCGGGUUCGAAUCCGGCCCUCGGCA